UGGGGAAUUUUGGACAAUGGGCGAAAGCCUGAUCCAGCAAUGCCGCGUGUGUGAAGAAGGCCUUCGGGUUGUAAAGCACUUUUGUCCGGAAAGAAAUCCUUGGCUCUAAUACAGUCGGGGGAUGACGGUACCGGAAGAAUAAGCACCGGCUAACUACGUGCCAGCAGCCGCGGUAAUACGUAGGGUGCAAGCGUUAAUCGGAAUUACUGGGCGUAAAGCGUGCGCAGGCGGUUUGCUAAGACCGACGUGAAAUCCCCGGGCUCAACCUGGGAACUGCAUUGGUGACUGGCAGGCUAGAGUAUGGCANAGGGGUUGAGAAUUCCAAUCCGUGUGAGCAGUCAGAAAGAUGCGUAGAGAUGUGGAGGAAUACCGAUGGCGAAGGCAGCCCCCUGGGCCAAUACUGACGCUCAUGCACGAAAGCGUGGGGAGCAAAACAGGAUUAGAUACCCUGGUAGUCCACGCCCUAAAACGAUGUCAACUAGUUGUUGGGGAUUCAUUUCCUUAGUAACGUAGCUAAACGCGUGAAGUUGACCGCCUGGGGAGUACGGUCGCAAGAUUAAAACUCAAAGGAAUUGACGGGGUCAUAGCUG
This 590-nucleotide ribosomal RNA is filed under the name uncultured bacterium. Its description in RNAcentral is "partial 16S ribosomal RNA". It matches the Rfam family "Bacterial small subunit ribosomal RNA", at positions 355 to 932 of the family's 1533-position model. The record is from RNAcentral.